RNAcentral lists this ribosomal RNA (1599 nucleotides) under Escherichia coli. Its description in RNAcentral is "partial 23S ribosomal RNA". It matches the Rfam family "Bacterial large subunit ribosomal RNA", at positions 1043 to 2625 of the family's 2925-position model. The record is from RNAcentral. Lineage: Bacteria; Pseudomonadati; Pseudomonadota; Gammaproteobacteria; Enterobacterales; Enterobacteriaceae.
GGUCCCAAAGUCAUGGUUAAGUGGGAAACGAUGUGGGAAGGCCCAGACAGCCAGGAUGUUGGCUUAGAAGCAGCCAUCAUUUAAAGAAAGCGUAAUAGCUCACUGGUCGAGUCGGCCUGCGCGGAAGAUGUAACGGGGCUAAACCAUGCACCGAAGCUGCGGCAGCGACACUAUGUGUUGUUGGGUAGGGGAGCGUUCUGUAAGCCUGUGAAGGUGUACUGUGAGGUAUGCUGGAGGUAUCAGAAGUGCGAAUGCUGACAUAAGUAACGAUAAAGCGGGUGAAAAGCCCGCUCGCCGGAAGACCAAGGGUUCCUGUCCAACGUUAAUCGGGGCAGGGUGAGUCGACCCCUAAGGCGAGGCCGAAAGGCGUAGUCGAUGGGAAACAGGUUAAUAUUCCUGUACUUGGUGUUACUGCGAAGGGGGGACGGAGAAGGCUAUGUUGGCCGGGCGACGGUUGUCCCGGUUUAAGCGUGUAGGCUGAUUUUCCAGGCAAAUCCGGAAAAUCAAGGCUGAGGCGUGAUGACGAGGCACUACGGUGCUGAAGCAACAAAUGCCCUGCUUCCAGGAAAAGCCUCUAAGCAUCAGGUAACAUCAAAUCGUACCCCAAACCGACACAGGUGGUCAGGUAGAGAAUACCAAGGCGCUUGAGAGAACUCGGGUGAAGGAACUAGGCAAAAUGGUGCCGUAACUUCGGGAGAAGGCACGCUGAUAUGUAGGUGAAGCGACUUGCUCGUGGAGCUGAAAUCAGUCGAAGAUACCAGCUGGCUGCAACUGUUUAUUAAAAACACAGCACUGUGCAAACACGAAAGUGGACGUAUACGGUGUGACGCCUGCCCGGUGCCGGAAGGUUAAUUGAUGGGGUUAGCGGUAACGCGAAGCUCUUGAUCGAAGCCCCGGUAAACGGCGGCCGUAACUAUAACGGUCCUAAGGUAGCGAAAUUCCUUGUCGGGUAAGUUCCGACCUGCACGAAUGGCGUAAUGAUGGCCAGGCUGUCUCCACCCGAGACUCAGUGAAAUUGAACUCGCUGUGAAGAUGCAGUGUACCCGCGGCAAGACGGAAAGACCCCGUGAACCUUUACUAUAGCUUGACACUGAACAUUGAGCCUUGAUGUGUAGGAUAGGUGGGAGGCUUUGAAGUGUGGACGCCAGUCUGCAUGGAGCCGACCUUGAAAUACCACCCUUUAAUGUUUGAUGUUCUAACGUUGGCCCGUUAUCCGGGUUGCGGACAGUGUCUGGUGGGUAGUUUGACUGGGGCGGUCUCCUCCUAAAGAGUAACGGAGGAGCACGAAGGUUGGCUAAUCCUGGUCGGACAUCAGGAGGUUAGUGCAAUGGCAUAAGCCAGCUUGACUGCGAGCGUGACGGCGCGAGCAGGUGCGAAAGCAGGUCAUAGUGAUCCGGUGGUUCUGAAUGGAAGGGCCAUCGCUCAACGGAUAAAAGGUACUCCGGGGAUAACAGGCUGAUACCGCCCAAGAGUUCAUAUCGACGGCGGUGUUUGGCACCUCGAUGUCGGCUCAUCACAUCCUGGGGCUGAAGUAGGUCCCAAGGGUAUGGCUGUUCGCCAUUUAAAGUGGUACGCGAGCUGGGUUUAGAACGUCGUGAG